RNAcentral lists this ribosomal RNA (579 nucleotides) under uncultured bacterium. RNAcentral describes it as "bacterial SSU rRNA". It matches the Rfam family "Bacterial small subunit ribosomal RNA", at positions 338 to 917 of the family's 1533-position model. The record is from RNAcentral.
CCUACGGGAGGCAGCAGUAAGGAAUAUUGGUCAAUGGACGAAAGUCUGAACCAGCCAUGCCGCGUGAAGGAUGAAGGCCCUCUGGGUUGUAAACUUCUUUUAUCUGGGACGAAAAAAGGGAAUUCUUUCCCACUUGACGGUACCAGAGGAAUAAGCACCGGCUAACUCCGUGCCAGCAGCCGCGGUAAUACGGAGGGUGCAAGCGUUAUCCGGAUUUACUGGGUUUAAAGGGUGCGUAGGUGGGUAGGUAAGUCAGUGGUGAAAUCUCCGAGCUUAACUCGGAAACUGCCAUUGAUACUAUCUAUCUUGAAUAUCCUGGAGGUGAGCGGAAUAUGUCAUGUAGCGGUGAAAUGCUUAGAUAUGACAUAGAACACCAAUUGCGAAGGCAGCUCACUACGGGAUUAUUGACACUGAGGCACGAAAGCGUGGGGAUCAAACAGGAUUAGAUACCCUGGUAGUCCACGCCCUAAACGAUGGAUACUCGACAUACGCGAUACACUGUGUGUGUCUGAGCGAAAGCAUUAAGUAUCCCACCUGGGAAGUACGAUCGCAAGAUUGAAACUCAAAGGAAUUAGACGG